UAAUUUGAGAGUUUGAUCCUGGCUCAGGACGAACGCUGGCGGCGUGCCUAAUACAUGCAAGUCGAACGAACUCUGGUAUUGAUUGGUGCUUGCAUNGGCUAUCACUUUUGGAUGGUCCCGCGGCGUAUUAGCUAGAUGGUGGGGUAACGGCUCACCAUGGCAAUGAUACGUAGCCGACCUGAGAGGGUAAUCGGCCACAUUGGGACUGAGACACGGCCCAAACUCCUACGGGAGGCAGCAGUAGGGAAUCUUCCACAAUGGACGAAAGUCUGAUGGAGCAACGCCGCGUGAGUGAAGAAGGGUUUCGGCUCGUAAAACUCUGUUGUUAAAGAAGAACAUAUCUGAGAGUAACUGUUCAGGUAUUGACGGUAUUUAACCAGAAAGCCACGGCUAACUACGUGCCAGCAGCCGCGGUAAUACGUAGGUGGCAAGCGUUGUCCGGAUUUAUUGGGCGUAAAGCGAGCGCAGGCGGUUUUUUAAGUCUGAUGUGAAAGCCUUCGGCUCAACCGAAGAAGUGCAUCGGAAACUGGGAAACUUGAGUGCAGAAGAGGACAGUGGAACUCCAUGUGUAGCGGUGAAAUGCGUAGAUAUAUGGAAGAACACCAGUGGCGAAGGCGGCUGUCUGGUCUGUAACUGACGCUGAGGCUCGAAAGUAUGGGUAGCAAACAGGAUUAGAUACCCUGGUAGUCCAUACCGUAAACGAUGAAUGCUAAGUGUUGGAGGGUUUCCGCCCUUCAGUGCUGCAGCUAACGCAUUAAGCAUUCCGCCUGGGGAGUACGGCCGCAAGGCUGAAACUCAAAGGAAUUGACGGGGGCCCGCACAAGCGGUGGAGCAUGUGGUUUAAUUCGAAGCUACGCGAAGAACCUUACCAGGUCUUGACAUACUAUGCAAAUCUAAGAGAUUAGACGUUCCCUUCGGGGACAUGGAUACAGGUGGUGCAUGGUUGUCGUCAGCUCGUGUCGUGAGAUGUUGGGUUAAGUCCCGCAACGAGCGCAACCCUUAUUAUCAGUUGCCAGCAUUAAGUUGGGCACUCUGGUGAGACUGCCGGUGACAAACCGGAGGAAGGUGGGGAUGACGUCAAAUCAUCAUGCCCCUUAUGACCUGGGCUACACACGUGCUACAAUGGAUGGUACAACGAGUUGCGAACUCGCGAGAGUAAGCUAAUCUCUUAAAGCCAUUCUCAGUUCGGAUUGUAGGCUGCAACUCGCCUACAUGAAGUCGGAAUCGCUAGUAAUCGCGGAUCAGCAUGCCGCGGUGAAUACGUUCCCGGGCCUUGUACACACCGCCCGUCACACCAUGAGAGUUUGUAACACCCAAAGUCGGUGGGGUAACCUUUUAGGAACCAGCCGCCUAAGGUGGGACAGAUGAUUAGGGUGAAGUCGUAACAAGGUAGCCGUAGGAGAACCUGCGGCUGGAUCACCUCCUUUCUAAGGAA
This 1435-nucleotide ribosomal RNA is filed under the name Lactobacillus sp. ATCC 15578. RNAcentral describes it as "bacterial SSU rRNA". It matches the Rfam family "Bacterial small subunit ribosomal RNA". Lineage: Bacteria; Bacillati; Bacillota; Bacilli; Lactobacillales; Lactobacillaceae. The record is from RNAcentral.